Carassius carassius (crucian carp) is the source of this 274-nucleotide long non-coding RNA. RefSeq lists it as uncharacterized. Lineage: Eukaryota; Metazoa; Chordata; Actinopteri; Cypriniformes; Cyprinidae. The transcript is spliced from 2 exons. The record is from RefSeq and is a predicted model, not a curated record.
AAAUUUCAAGUAUUUAUAAAAAAUGUGGAAAGAUGUAUAUAAUUCAGAUGAGAAAUACUAUUCCAUGUAAGCCUACCAAUAUGUAAAAUGUCAAGUCCAGUUUCUCUCAGAUAUACAAAACAACAUUAAAUAUGUUGCCCUGAUUUUGAUAGUGACACACUCAUUAGAAAUGUAUACAUCUGCCCUGCGUCAAAUAUGCUGAGACAGAAUGAAAGUGUAACAAGACAGAAAUGAAAGUGUAAUGAUAUGCUGAAUGUGACCUUAUGCUGAACUA